RNAcentral lists this transfer RNA (75 nucleotides) under Huberantha cerasoides. RNAcentral describes it as "tRNA-fMet". It matches the Rfam family "tRNA". From Rfam's summary of the family: Transfer RNA (tRNA) molecules are approximately 80 nucleotides in length. Their secondary structure includes four short double-helical elements and three loops (D, anti-codon, and T loops). Lineage: Eukaryota; Viridiplantae; Streptophyta; Magnoliopsida; Magnoliales; Annonaceae. RNAcentral also lists the same sequence under 12 other names. The record is from RNAcentral.
CGCGGGGUAGAGCAGUUUGGCUAGCUCACAAGGCUCAUAACCUUGAGGUCACGGGUUCAAAUCCCGUCCCCGCUA